GCAAGUCGAACGAGGUCCAUGCGGUGGCAACACCGCGGAAGACCUAGUGGCGAACGGGUGAGUAACACGUGAGGAACCUGCCCCGAAGACCGGGAUAACCCUCCGAAAGGAGAGCUAAUACCGGAUGUCCCCACCGAGCCGCAUGGUUUGGUGAGGAAAUGGAUUCCGCUUCGGGAGGGCCUCGCGGCCUAUCAGCUAGUUGGUGAGGUAACGGCUCACCAAGGCAUCGACGGGUAGCUGGUCUGAGAGGACGAUC
Molecule: ribosomal RNA, 256 nt
Filed under: uncultured bacterium
Lineage: Bacteria
Description: partial 16S ribosomal RNA
Rfam family: Bacterial small subunit ribosomal RNA
Source: RNAcentral